UAUUAGUAUUGCACCCGUGCGGAGCCGUGGCAGUUCGCUAGUUUACAAUAAAUUGAACAUUUAUGUAACUAUACAUAGGGUCAACGAGCCAGAGAAUGAACACCACCCAAUAACAAUUCAACUGAUUUUAUCUAUAUAAAGGUUAUUUGAAAUAACUUAUUUCAAUUAUUAGAAGCCGAAGAAAACGUUUGUAAAUAUGGCAACGGUCAUUCCGUUCAUACACUGGAAAAAUCAUAACCUCAAACAGUGUAUUCAUAUUAUAACAUCGAUAGAUCGGUACCAGAGUACCAGUCAGGUAGAACCAAGUGUGCUCCGUUUUUGUUAAGAUGGAUAAAAAAAAUACCAAUGAUUUCGAUAUUCGGAGAAAAUAUUGACCAACGCUAUCACAGACAUUAAAAGCGGGAAUAUUUGAAUGAGGCUUCUGAGAAAUAUGGAAUAAACAAAUCUACUCUUCACAACAAACUAACGGAUACGGUUCCAAAUAUAGGAAAAAUGGACCCAUCUCCCAUUUUAACUUCAGUCGAAGAAAAACGAGUAGAAGAUUGGAUUUCAUUAAAAGCAAAAUUGGGUUUUCCAAUGCAUCCAAACGAUGUCAAAAAUGCAGUAAAAAAAUAUUACAGGAUAUUGGUCGAGCCAACCCUUUCACAGAUAGCAGACCGGGCGACAAGUGGCUAAAAUUAUUUUUGGGAAGACAUCCUCAAAUUGCAAGAAAAAAUACUGAAAUUAUUUCGAAAUCCCGGGCAUCUGUAACAGACGAAUCUAUUUGAGCAUGGUUUUCUGAUCUUCAAGCUUUCCUGCAAAAUAAAAGCAUCUUAGAUAUGAUCAAAGAUCCUUCGAGGGUUUUUAAUGCAGAUGAAACAGUCAUCAGAACGUGCAUGAAACCAGGUCCAGUUUUAGCACCUAAGGAUAUAAAAACCUGUACGAAGUUUCUUCCGGCAGUGAGAAAGAAUCAAUUACCGUUCUCUGCAAUUAUUCAGCAGCAGGGAUAGUAGCACCGCCAAUGGUUAUGUUUCCUUGUAAAAGAAUUCCGAAAGAUCAACUAAUUAAGAAAACGAAACAAGAGAAUAAAGCCGAAAAAGUAGAAAACAGCGAAGGGCAGAAGGCAAUGAGAGAGGUCAGGAAACUCGAAAAAAAAAAAAUACGAUGAAGAGGAGCAGACUAAGAGAUCGAAUGAAGACAAGAAAGCCGAAAAAGAAAGAAAACAGCGAAGAGCAGGAGACUAUUAAAGGAAACACAAAUAAUGAAAAGGAAAAAUAGGACAACGAGCAGCAGGCUGAAACAAGACAAGAAAGCGAAAAAAGACGAAAACAGCGAAGAGCAACAGACUAUGGAAAAAGAAAAGAAAGUCCAAAAAGAAAAAUACGGUGAAGAGCACCAGAAAUCGAAACAUGGCAGGAAUAUUGAAAAAGACAAAGGAGAACAGCUGGUUGAGAAUAUAGAACAAGACAACAUAUCUGAGUCCUCAGCUGAUAUUUUUAAUGUUGGGGA
Leptinotarsa decemlineata (Colorado potato beetle) is the source of this 1488-nucleotide long non-coding RNA. The record is from RefSeq and is a predicted model, not a curated record. Lineage: Eukaryota; Metazoa; Arthropoda; Insecta; Coleoptera; Chrysomelidae.